RNAcentral lists this ribosomal RNA (251 nucleotides) under uncultured bacterium. RNAcentral describes it as "partial 16S ribosomal RNA". It matches the Rfam family "Bacterial small subunit ribosomal RNA", at positions 524 to 771 of the family's 1533-position model. The record is from RNAcentral.
UACGUAGGGUGCAAGCGUUAAUCGGAAUUACUGGGCGUAAAGCGCACGUAGGCGGCUUUCUAAGUCGGGGGUGAAAUCCUGGAGCUCAACUCCAGAACUGCCUUCGAUACUGGAGAGCUUGAGUCCGGGAGAGGUGAGUGGGAACUGCGAGUGUAGAGGUGAAAUUCGUAGAUAUUCGCAAGAACACCAGUGGCGAAGGCGGCUCACUGGCCCGGUACUGACGCUGAGGUGCGAAAAGCGUGGGGGAGCAA